CUGUUAAUCCCUUGGAUGAAUCGUAGACACAUAUAAAACAUGAUUAAAAUUAAAAACUAUCCAUUUUAUUAAUGAACAAAAUUUACAAGUACAAAUUUACGUCCCAAAAUUAUAAUAUACAUCAGCCAACAAUUAGCUUCUAGGGCACACAUCUAACAAACUCGUACUUAUACUAAAGUCAAUUGGCCAUAAGCCUAAGUCCCAUCUUCUCAAGAUGAACUUCAGUCUUCUGCUAGCUGAGAGACUUCGUUAGUGAGUCCGCCAC
Molecule: long non-coding RNA, 265 nt
Filed under: Elaeis guineensis (African oil palm)
Lineage: Eukaryota; Viridiplantae; Streptophyta; Magnoliopsida; Arecales; Arecaceae
Description: long non-coding RNA (EGUI_LNC072129)
Source: RNAcentral